This 43-nucleotide non-coding RNA is filed under the name Trichobilharzia regenti. Lineage: Eukaryota; Metazoa; Platyhelminthes; Trematoda; Strigeidida; Schistosomatidae. The record is from RNAcentral.
GUAGCUGAAGAGUCCCAGCUGGGACGAAACAGCUGUCCAGUAC